Long non-coding RNA from Ailuropoda melanoleuca (giant panda), 4348 nucleotides. RefSeq lists it as uncharacterized. The record is from RefSeq and is a predicted model, not a curated record. Lineage: Eukaryota; Metazoa; Chordata; Mammalia; Carnivora; Ursidae. The transcript is spliced from 3 exons.
UGAUGGGCGAAGUCCGUAAGGCUGCCGAGGCUCGGUUCCGAAUACGCAGCACUCACAGGGGCAAUGUCACCACCGGCUCCCUUCUUUCCACUUGACGUGAAUUCAAAGGACUUGUCCCUCCUACAAAUGCACUGAAUACUCCAGAAAGAGCCCCAUGCCUCGGAGUAGAGCUACUCAGGGAAAAUGAAAAUGAAACUUUAUUAGAGCUGGCUCUCCGUCUGUCAUUCAAAUUUAAAUAAUCAAGUGUUUUGACAUAUUACUUCCAAACUAAAUGCAAAGCCUUUUAAACCGUGGAAUAAGCUGGGUGUUCCCAGGCGGCUGAUUUACUCAUCUACAAACCUCGAACCUCCUCUCUCAGGAGCGUGGAGCCUUUUCCCGCAUCUGACUUGCCAGAGUGCCCCUCUUUUUCUCCAAGCUCACGAGAUGAUUGCUUCUCACCUGCUUCUCACGUGCUCGGUUCUGGCAGGACCUGGCGGAGUCGUCCUGUCCCAGGUUCGGGUACCAGGAUCUGGUGACCGUCUGAGAUGAGAACGUCGAGUUCGACUCCCAGCCAGGAUCAUGUCAUCCCCGUGGGCGAGGGGCUGCAGUUCCAUGUCUGCCUCUGUCUCACGCUGCUGCCAGCGGUAGACACGGGGUUCGUGCUGUCCCCCCAUGCGGUCCCCGGUGCCAGGAGGUGGCAGAAAGUCAACCCCAAUCCACUUUUCUCUGGACGGCUCACUUAGGGGCACGUGGUUUUUGUCUGAAGUCCUUGGACAGAAUCCUCUCUUGCUUGCCAAGAUUCCUUCUAGUGACCCUUCUUUACUCCAUCUUUUUUGGGGAUCAGUCACUGGGAAAUAGCCUUUCAGGCGAUCUCAGGAGCAAAUAAAACGUGCUGCAGCCCGAAGGCCUGGUGCUCGCUCGGCCAGCGUCCACCGCUGGCUGGGUGGCCUUGGCAAAGACACCACACUUCCCUGGGGGUGAAAACGCCUGUCCCCUAAAUCCCCGAGACAGGUGUGGCGCUCUCAGGGGCUAAUGCUGGGAAAACCCACUGGUGGAAAGGACUGUGCUACAGGGUCCACACUGCUGCUGCUUUUCUACCUUCUGCGGCUCCGGACUGGAGCCCUGGAGCCGAUCACGGCCGACGGCGGGCCGUGCUGGGACCGCCCGUGACACCCGUGAAGAGCAUGGCCUGGGCCCGGGCGCCCCUGCGGGCCACGAACAUCAUAGCUCCCUCCGGUUCGGGUGAGUGCUGUAGCCUCUUCUCUGAAAAACAGGGGCAGUCAUUUGAAAACAGCAUCUUGAAGAGAUUCAGCGACGCUGAGUAAGUCAGAACCCGCUCACACGGACCCUGCCGUCACCGUCGGGGAGGCUGAGCCUUGACCUGUGCUCCUGCACCGACAUCCCCGCUCCAGCAAGUGACCCUCACACGUGACCGCCCGGGAUGGGGACUGCAGCAUGGGGACACGACAGGGGCCACACGGGGAGCAGCGGCCGGGUCACCUCUGAUGGGCACACAUGGCGAGAACAUAAAGCUCAUCUGUGCUUCCUGAUUGCUCACAGUUUUUACGAUCUGAGAGCUCUCUUCUUACGAAGAGGGGCUAUUACUGGCCGAUGAAAACCCACCUUAAGAUGAUGCCAUGACCAAGCAUUGAACGCACUGCUGGCCUCCUGGUCAUGAGACAGUCAGGCCGUCCUCCCUGGGUAACUCGGGAGGACAGGGUGCCGUGUCUGCACCUGGCAUCAUCAGCCCGAAGGCACACGCUCCCUGCAGUCCGAGGAUGGAGAACACAUCAGAGGCAGCCCAGCCUCGGAAGGACGGCCACGUUCCUUCACCCCCUCACCUAGCGAUCAGCAGAGGCCACAGAGUGAAUAGAGGGGUAAUUGUGGUUGAGCGUCUUGAAGUUGGCCCACGCGGGCCGGCCGUCUCCCCAACCCGUUCCUACAAGGGCAGCAAAGGAGGGACAGAACAAGUCUAGUGACCUUGGGGACAAGUCUCUGAACAGGCCCUGGACGAGAAGAUGGACCCAGAAAAGGCAAGGGUGUUAGUGAGGCUUGCGGGGAGCAGCUCUUCACCAAGGAGAGCUCUCCGUGCGGGACGAAGGCCGCGGUGACUCAGUUGCCCUGGGCUUGCACCCCACACACGGCCAGUGACUCAGAGCAUGAGCACCUGGGGUGGGACCGUCCAGCAAGACUCGGCACUUUCCUUGCCCAUCUGUACUGUUCUGGAAAAGUCUGUCGAGCCCUGGGACGGCAGCCUGACCCACGUCACAGGACUUCACCUCCAGAGCGUGUGCGAGCAGACGAGCUGCACCCUUAACCUUACAGGAACAGGAAGGGCCCAGGGCAGACUCCCUGAAGAAAUGUGAGGUGUGUCCUUGUAAAACUGGAUUGUUGGGGCAUGACUUAUCAAGGGGGAGGCAGCGCGGAGUCAUAGGAUGAGGUGGGUUUGGGAACCAGUUCUGAGUCCUCCCUGCCCCAUCUGAACUGUGAGGCUGUGGGCAAGUCACUUGACCUCUCUGAGCCUCUGGCGUAAGACGUGUGAAAAAGGGACAUUUCCCGGCAAAACUUCUCGGGGAUGAUACAAAACAGGCAGGAAGAUAAAACCUGAUGUCAGAGCCAAUGACUCAACCAGCCGGCGGGGAGGAUUCAUGACGCUCCUAGGAACAUCCUUGCAUAAAUCACAGCCAAGAAAGCCUGGCAAGACCACGUUUACGUUUCAAACUCUUUCAGGAGAACAGGAAAAACAGCUUUUUAACGUAGCCAAUAAGAUACAGCUUUACAAGAUCUGACUUAAAUCCAGAGCACCGAGCGAGUUGAUACAAUGGUAAGAGUCAUUAACAAACCGAAGCCUACCAUACAGUCUUAUAUGCGUGGGAGAAUUUAUAGAUAUCGUAGAGACAUUUAAAAUAUCAGACCCAUUUCGUGCCAAAUAGUUUAGACCAUGUUUUCUCAGCCUCGACCUAUUGACAUUUCAGCCCAGAUAAUUCUGUCAUGGGGCGCGGGGGGCUGUCCUGCACAGUGUGGUAGUUCGGCCUCACCCCCAGCCCUGACCCACAUGUUGCUAGGAGCACCCACCCCGACUUGUGACAAGCAGAAUGUCUCCAGAUAUUGUGCAGCGUCCCCCGGUGGAGGGACAUUCGAACCUUCCCCAGCUGAGAACCACUGGUUGGACUGUUGUGGGACACUCUCAUUCUCGAGGUCCCAUUUCUUGGUCUGAAACAUAAGAUGCGUUUGUGGCAAACAUUCCAACAGAUGUUUGCUAGUCAGGAAGAGAUUAGACAGUCUUCUGUGUUCCCAGGUCAGCACCGUUUGGCCCGAGCAAACUUCUCAUCCCAGAAAGUUAUCUUUCCUCUUCUCUGAGACCGUGAGAGGGGUUCUUCAACAUUCGGUCAGGCCCCAGCUUGGACACCUGCUCCGUAUCUCUCAGGACUCUGCCCAUUCAAGGUCUAGUCUUUCCCAGGAUCUGACUAUGUUGCAUGACCUUUUGUUCUAAGUCUUCAAACUGCUUUCUGAUUAGAUUUUUUUCUUCUUCUCUUUCAAAAAACAACAACAAAAAAAUCAAGACCCUUAUUGUUGGAUUGCCAAUCAUCCCUGAACUCGUCUAUCAGCAGGCUUCUUCUUUCUUCAGAAUAUCUGGAAGAGAAAAGUCCUUACAGGGAACUGACUUUAAAAUAGGAUGGUUUUCUUGAGUCCUCAGAAUGGUUUUUAUUAUCCAGACCACCUGGUGAUGAGAGCUAUUGCAUAAAAGGACAUAAGUGUAGUCUAAAAGUACGCACUGGCACCUUUCAACAGGACACUUGCACUGUGGAUGCUGGUAGAUGGUCCUGCAUAAGUCACUGGGACCUAACCAUUCUGGCCCCAAGAGAAACAGCCACCCCCCCCCAUCCCUUCUAAGGCUAGGGGAUUCAGCAGGACUUUCUCCAAACACCUGCUCCCUUCCACCUCCAGUCCUUGUUUCCUAGAACACAGAUGCACAGUGCUGGGAUUUCCCUUCUGUAUCCUCCCUGACCGUCUGCAAUUUUCUGGGCCACUGUCUGCCUCUUUCCAGUCGAAACUAUGUCUGAGACCACAGUGAUGUGCGCUUGAGAUAACUGGCAGAUUCCAAUGUCUGAAACCUAAAGUUAGCCUAAGUGCCUUGGUGGUGUUGUCAUUGUUUGUUUUUUGUUAGAACGAGGCUCUGUUCAUAUGAAGGGUGAAGAGAUGAGAUCAAAUUAGAGAAGAUAUAAGAUCUAUUUCUAAAAGAUUUACAUAUUCUAACACUUCUAAAAUCUUUUACAAUGAGGACUAAUCUUAAGUAAGGUAGUCUGUUCUUUUUAACUGAGGUGAGAAAAAGUUCCUGUUAUUAGAUAUAUAGUGUUUUACAAUGGAA